CAGACAUCCACUAUUCUGGUCAGAGUAGUUAACCCAGAAAUGGACACAAACCCCAACACAAGUGAAUCCCAAGGGUUUCCACAAAGAUCCAUCCACAAAGGCACUGGGAACUACAGUUUCUUUCUUUAUUCAGAAGUUCUCCAGCUGAAUUCACGUGUUGACAAGAUAUGUGCUUCUGAAACCAUGUGAAAUGCACUUGACUCAGGUUCUUAAAUGUACACACAGCCAGCAUGAGAUCAUGGAUGGAAGAUGAAGAACCCAGAGGGAGGGGUCUCAUCUUAGAGGGACAAUAAAGUUGAGAGAGUAUGUUACCAUGCUGAUAGAACUUUGCCACCAAAAUAACAUUUGGUGUAGGGAAACCUACACUGCACCAAUGAGAUUUCUUAUAAUUUGAUUAGGCGACAUUGGAGACUUGGCAUUCAUUGGCCUACUGAGAAC
Canis lupus familiaris (dog) is the source of this 438-nucleotide long non-coding RNA. RefSeq lists it as uncharacterized. The transcript is spliced from 3 exons. Lineage: Eukaryota; Metazoa; Chordata; Mammalia; Carnivora; Canidae. The record is from RefSeq and is a predicted model, not a curated record.